GACGAACGCUGGCGGCGUGCUUAACACAUGCAAGUCGAACGGAAAGACCCUGCUUUUGUGGGGUGCUCGAGUGGCGAACGGGUGAGUAACACGUGAGUAACCUGCCCUUGACUUUGGGAUAACUUCAGGAAACUGGGGCUAAUACCGGAUAGGAGCUCCUGCUGCAUGGUGGGGGUUGGAAAGUUUCGGCGGUUGGGGAUGGACUCGCGGCUUAUCAGCUUGUUGGUGGGGUAGUGGCUUACCAAGGCUUUGACGGGUAGCCGGCCUGAGAGGUUGACCGGCCACAUUGGGACUGAGAUACGGCCCAGACUCCUACGGGAGGCAGCAGUGGGGAAUAUUGCACAAUGGGCGGAAGCCUGAUGCAGCAACGCCGCGUGCGGGAUGACGGCCUUCGGGUUGUAAACCGCUUUCGCCUGUGACGAAGCGUGAGUGACGGUAAUGGGUAAAGAAGCACCGGCUAACUACGUG
Molecule: ribosomal RNA, 468 nt
Filed under: uncultured bacterium
Lineage: Bacteria
Description: partial 16S ribosomal RNA
Rfam family: Bacterial small subunit ribosomal RNA
Source: RNAcentral